Molecule: ribosomal RNA, 253 nt
Filed under: uncultured bacterium
Lineage: Bacteria
Description: partial 16S ribosomal RNA
Rfam family: Bacterial small subunit ribosomal RNA
Source: RNAcentral
UUCGUAGGGAGCAAGCGUUGUCCGGAUUUAUUGGGCGUAAAGAGCGUGUAGGCGGCCAGGUAGGUCUGCUGUGAAAACUCGAGGCUUAACCUCGAGAUGUCGGCGGAAACCAUCUGGCUAGAGUCCGGAAGAGGAGAGUGGAAUUCCUGGUGUAGCGGUGAAAUGCGCAGAUAUCAGGAAGAACACCCGUGGCGAAGGCGGCUCUCUGGGACGGUACUGACGCUGAGACGCGAAAGCGUGGGGAGCGAACAGG